AAGAACUAAGAUGCGUUUGUGUAAAACUUCAUGCUCUGGACAUCUGUUACUUCAGGAGUUGGAUCUCCAAAAACUUCAUGCUCCCAGUUAGCUUUUGUGUCUCUUAUUGUGUAAAACUUCACUUAGCUUAUGCUGGUGGCUUGUGUCUCUUAUUGGCCGUGUUUGGAUCCUUCUAACUCGGUUAGAGUUAGAGUUAUUUUCUAACUCUAAUCUAACCUUAAAUUAACUCUAACUCUCGUGGAGUUUGGCUUAAGAGUUAGAUUGGGUUAGAUUAGCAUGUUUCAUUCAUCAUGCAAGUGGAUUUGAUGUGUCUACCUAAAUCUAACCCUUAUAAUCAUCCCUUGAAAGGGUUAGUUUUUUUAGGUGGGUUAGAUGCAUCUAACCCUAUUCUAACCCUCCUGUUUGGAUGCUUUAGGGAUAUUUCACCUUCAAAUAGCGAAAUCUAACUCUAACCCAGGGAUCCAAAUAGGGCCAUUGUCUCCCAGUUAGCUUAUGAUGGUGGCUUGUGUUCUCUAGCCAUUUUAUGGAUAGGACUUGGAUCCCAAAACCUUCUCACUUCUCGAGUUCGUUUAGUUUAGGAAAUUUCGAAAAACUUCUCACCAGGCAAAUAGCAAAAAAAAUAAAAAACAUCACCACCUGCACAGGCCAGGCUUUGAACCCAAAACCUCAAGUUGUAUGGAUUGGUGCACUAACCGAUUCACCUAAUGAGUGUUGUCAUUAAACUUGGACCUCCUACUUUAUUUUGAAAGGUCCCUUCGACAGGAUAUUUAAAAAAAGAAUGAAACAUUUUUAGCGUUAAUUUAGGAGCGAGGUGAAACGACAUCUGUUGAAAAAUAAUUUUUCAGGGCCACCACUGGUACGCAUGUCUUUGCGCCGCC
This 878-nucleotide long non-coding RNA is filed under the name Sorghum bicolor (sorghum). Its description in RNAcentral is "long non-coding RNA (SBIC_LNC012144)". The record is from RNAcentral. Lineage: Eukaryota; Viridiplantae; Streptophyta; Magnoliopsida; Poales; Poaceae.